GGUUAAGCGACUAAGCGUACACGGUGGAUGCCCUGGCAGUCAGAGGCGAUGAAGGACGUGCUAAUCUGCGAAAAGCGUCGGUAAGGUGAUAUGAACCGUUAUAACCGGCGAUGUCCGAAUGGGGAAACCCAGUGCAAUUCGUUGCACUAUCGUUAACUGAAUACAUAGGUUAACGAGGCGAACCGGGGGAACUGAAACAUCUAAGUACCCCGAGGAAAAGAAAUCAACCGAGAUUCCCCCAGUAGCGGCGAGCGAACGGGGAGCAGCCCAGAGUCUGAAUCAGCUUGUGUGUUAGUGGAACGGUCUGGAAAGUCCGACGGUACAGGGUGAUAGUCCCGUACACCAAAAUGCACAGGCUGUGAACUCGAAGAGUAGGGCGGGACACGUGGUAUCCUGUCUGAAUAUGGGGGGACCAUCCUCCAAGGCUAAAUACUCCUGACUGACCGAUAGUGAACCAGUACCGUGAGGGAAAGGCGAAAAGAACCCCGGCGAGGGGAGUGAAAAAGAACCUGAAACCGUGUACGUACAAGCAGUGGGAGCACCUUCGGGUGUGACUGCGUACCUUUUGUAUAAUGGGUCAGCGACUUAUAUUCUGUAGCAAGGUUAACCGUAUAGGGGAGCCGCAGGGAAACCGAGUCUUAACUGGGCGUUAAGUUGCAGGGUAUAGACCCGAAACCCGGUGAUCUAGCCAUGGGCAGGUUGAAGGUUGGGUAACACUAACUGGAGGACCGAACCGACUAAUGUUGAAAAAUUAGCGGAUGACUUGUGGCUGGGGGUGAAAGGCCAAUCAAACCGGGAGAUAGCUGGUUCUCCCCGAAAGCUAUUUAGGUAGCGCCUCGUGAAUUCAUCUUCGGGGGUAGAGCACUGUUUCGGCUAGGGGGUCAUCCCGACUUACCAACCCGAUGCAAACUACGAAUACCGAAGAAUGUUAUCACGGGAGACACACGGCGGGUGCUAACGUCCGUCGUGAAGAGGGAAACAACCCAGACCGCCAGCUAAGGUCCCAAAGUCAUGGUUAAGUGGGAAACGAUGUGGGAAGGCACAGACAGCCAGGAUGUUGGCUUAGAAGCAGCCAUCAUUUAAAGAAAGCGUAAUAGCUCACUGGUCGAGUCGGCCUGCGCGGAAGAUGUAACGGGGCUAAACCAUGCACCGAAGCUGCGGCAGCGACACUAUGUGUUGUUGGGUAGGGGAGCGUUCUGUAAGCCUGCGAAGGUGUGCUGUGAGGCAUGCUGGAGGUAUCAGAAGUGCGAAUGCUGACAUAAGUAACGAUAAAGCGGGUGAAAAGCCCGCUCGCCGGAAGACCAAGGGUUCCUGUCCAACGUUAAUCGGGGCAGGGUGAGUCGACCCCUAAGGCGAGGCCGAAAGGCGUAGUCGAUGGGAAACAGGUUAAUAUUCCUGUACUUGGUGUUACUGCGAAGGGGGGACGGAGAAGGCUAUGUUAGCCGGGCGACGGUUGUCCCGGUUUAAGCAUGUAGGCUGAUUGUCCAGGCAAAUCCGGAUAAUCAAGGCUGAGGUGUGAUGACGAGGCACUACGGUGCUGAAGUAACAAAUGCCCUGCUUCCAGGAAAAGCCUCUAAGCAUCAGGUAACAUCAAAUCGUACCCCAAACCGACACAGGUGGUCAGGUAGAGAAUACCAAGGCGCUUGAGAGAACUCGGGUGAAGGAACUAGGCAAAAUGGUGCCGUAACUUCGGGAGAAGGCACGCUGGUGUGUAGGUGAAGCCCCUGCGGAUGGAGCUGAGACCAGUCGAAGAUACCAGCUGGCUGCAACUGUUUAUUAAAAACACAGCACUGUGCAAACACGAAAGUGGACGUAUACGGUGUGACGCCUGCCCGGUGCCGGAAGGUUAAUUGAUGGGGUUAUCCGUAAGGAGAAGCUCUUGAUCGAAGCCCCGGUAAACGGCGGCCGUAACUAUAACGGUCCUAAGGUAGCGAAAUUCCUUGUCGGGUAAGUUCCGACCUGCACGAAUGGCGUAAUGAUGGCCAGGCUGUCUCCACCCGAGACUCAGUGAAAUUGAACUCGCUGUGAAGAUGCAGUGUACCCGCGGCAAGACGGAAAGACCCCGUGAACCUUUACUAUAGCUUGACACUGAACAUUGAGCCUUGAUGUGUAGGAUAGGUGGGAGGCUUUGAAGCGUGGACGCCAGUCUGCGUGGAGCCAACCUUGAAAUACCACCCUUUAAUGUUUGAUGUUCUAACGUUGGCCCCUUACCGGGGUUGCGGACAGUGUCUGGUGGGUAGUUUGACUGGGGCGGUCUCCUCCCAAAGCGUAACGGAGGAGCACGAAGGUUAGCUAAUCCUGGUCGGACAUCAGGAGGUUAGUGCAAUGGCAUAAGCUAGCUUGACUGCGAGCGUGACGGCGCGAGCAGGUGCGAAAGCAGGUCAUAGUGAUCCGGUGGUUCUGAAUGGAAGGGCCAUCGCUCAACGGAUAAAAGGUACUCCGGGGAUAACAGGCUGAUACCGCCCAAGAGUUCAUAUCGACGGCGGUGUUUGGCACCUCGAUGUCGGCUCAUCACAUCCUGGGGCUGAAGUAGGUCCCAAGGGUAUGGCUGUUCGCCAUUUAAAGUGGUACGCGAGCUGGGUUUAGAACGUCGUGAGACAGUUCGGUCCCUAUCUGCCGUGGGCGCUGGAGAAUUGAGGGGGGCUGCUCCUAGUACGAGAGGACCGGAGUGGACGCAUCACUGGUGUUCGGGUUGUCAUGCCAAUGGCACUGCCCGGUAGCUAAAUGCGGAAGAGAUAAGUGCUGAAAGCAUCUAAGCACGAAACUUGCCCCGAGAUGAGUUCUCCCUGAGACUUUAAGUCUCCUGAAGGAACGUUAAAGACGAUGACGUUGAUAGGCCGGGUGUGUAAGCGCAGCGAUGCGUUGAGCUAACCGGUACUAAUGAACCGUGAGGCUUAACCUU
RNAcentral lists this ribosomal RNA (2902 nucleotides) under Klebsiella pneumoniae. RNAcentral describes it as "23S ribosomal RNA". It matches the Rfam family "Bacterial large subunit ribosomal RNA". The record is from RNAcentral. Lineage: Bacteria; Pseudomonadati; Pseudomonadota; Gammaproteobacteria; Enterobacterales; Enterobacteriaceae.